UACAGAGGUCUCAAGCGUUGUUCGGAUUCAUUGGGCGUAAAGGGUGCGUAGGCGGCGCGGUAAGUCGGGUGUGAAAUCUUGGAGCUUAACUCCGAAACUGCAUUCGAUACUGCCGUGCUUGAGGACUGGAGAGGAGACUGGAAUUUACGGUGUAGCGGUGAAAUGCGUAGAUACCACCCAGAACUCCGAUUGCGAAGGCAGCCUACUGGAGGUUAACCGACGCUCAGGCACGAAAGCGUGGGGAUCAAACAGG
RNAcentral lists this ribosomal RNA (253 nucleotides) under uncultured bacterium. RNAcentral's name for it is "partial 16S ribosomal RNA". It matches the Rfam family "Bacterial small subunit ribosomal RNA", at positions 524 to 776 of the family's 1533-position model. The record is from RNAcentral.